RNAcentral lists this ribosomal RNA (634 nucleotides) under Mesocriconema curvatum. Its description in RNAcentral is "SSU rRNA". It matches the Rfam family "Eukaryotic small subunit ribosomal RNA", at positions 1003 to 1664 of the family's 1831-position model. The record is from RNAcentral. Lineage: Eukaryota; Metazoa; Nematoda; Chromadorea; Rhabditida; Criconematidae.
GGCGAUCAGAUACCGCCCUAGUUCUGACCGUAAACGAUGCCAACUAGCGAUUCGGCGGUGGCUACAAGGCCCUGCUGAGGAGCUUCCCGGAAACGAAAGUCUUCCGGUUCCGGGGGAAGUAUGGUUGCAAAGCUGAAACUUAAAGGAAUUGACGGAAGGGCACCACCAGGAGUGGAGCCUGCGGCUUAAUUUGACUCAACACGGGAAAACUCACCCGGCCCGGACACCGUAAGGAUUGACAGAUUGAUAGCUUUUUCAUGAUUCGGUGGUUGGUGGUGCAUGGCCGUUCUUAGUUCGUGGAUCGAUUUGUCUGGUUUAUUCCGAUAACGAGCGAGACUCCAGCCUACUAACUAGUACGAGCAUUGCCUCUGUGCUCGGCACUUCUUAGAGGGAUUGACUGCGUCUAGCGGUACGAAACGGAGCAAUAACAGGUCUGUGAUGCCCUUAGAUGUCCGGGGCUGCACGCGCGCUACACUGGCAAAGGCAACGUGCUUGUCCGUCUCCGAAAGGAGCCGGUAAACCCUUGAAAAUUUGCCGUGAUUGGGAUCGGAAAUUGCAAUUAUUUUCCGUGAACGAGGAAUUCCUAGUAAGUGCGAGUCAUCAGCUCGCGUUGAUUACGUCCCUGCCCUUUGUA